AUACUUUACCUGGACGGGGUCAACGGACGAUCCACAAGGUCCAUGGCCUAGGUUGGAGACCUCCAUUGCACUUUGGAGGGGUGCCUGCCUAAGUGGCCGAGCCUACGUCAUAGUUUGUGGCAGUGGGGGCAUGCAUUCGCGCGGCCCCUAC
Molecule: small nuclear RNA, 151 nt
Filed under: Capsicum annuum
Lineage: Eukaryota; Viridiplantae; Streptophyta; Magnoliopsida; Solanales; Solanaceae
Description: U1 spliceosomal RNA
Rfam family: U1 spliceosomal RNA
About the family: U1 is a small nuclear RNA (snRNA) component of the spliceosome (involved in pre-mRNA splicing). Its 5' end forms complementary base pairs with the 5' splice junction, thus defining the 5' donor site of an intron.
Source: Rfam by way of RNAcentral